AUUGAACGCUGGCGGCAUGCCUUACACAUGCAAGUCGAACGGCAGCACGGGAGCAAUCCUGGCACCUAGUGGCGAACGGGUGAGUAAUAUAUAGGAAAGUGCCGAGUCGUGGGGGAUAACGCAGCGAAAGGUGUGCUAAUACCGCAUACGAUCUCUGGAGGAAAGCUGGGGACCGUAAGGCACCGCGCGAUUGGAGCGGCCCAUAUCAGAGUAGCCAGUUGGUGGGGUAAAGGCCCACCAAGGCGACGAUCUGUAGCUGGUCUGAGAGGAUGACCAGCCACACUGGAACUGAGACACGGUCCAGACUCCUACGGGAGGCAGCAGUGGGGAAUUUUGGACAAUGGGCGCAAGCCUGAUCCAGCAAUGCCGCGUGCAGGAUGAAGGCCUUCGGGUUGUAAACUGCUUUUGUACGGAACGAAACGGCGAGCUCUAAUAAAGUUUGCUAAUGACGGUACCGUAAGAAUAAGCACCGGCUAACUACGUGCCAGCAGCCGCCGUAA
Molecule: ribosomal RNA, 500 nt
Filed under: uncultured bacterium
Lineage: Bacteria
Description: partial 16S ribosomal RNA
Rfam family: Bacterial small subunit ribosomal RNA
Source: RNAcentral